AACCAAGAGUGCAAAAAAACAAAAGCUUCCAUUGCGAUUUGGGAGAACGAACAACGAUGGUGAAACAAUGGUAACUCUUAUCAAGAUUAGCAAUGGAGAAAUGGGGGGCAAGGAAAGACCAAGAGAGAUGCCAAACACGAAUGAUUCCUCAAUUAUGAUUCCUAAGAAUAACAAGAGUGGGCUACAAAUUGGUAUUUUAGUUGCUGGUGCUACAAGUUCAACUUUUGGGCUCAUUAUUCUAGCAAUUUCUGUUGCUCUUAUUUUCAAACACCGUGUUUCUAUAUUCAAAGUACUCUCUAACAAGGCAAAUGGAG
Molecule: unclassified non-coding RNA, 314 nt
Filed under: Hevea brasiliensis (rubber tree)
Lineage: Eukaryota; Viridiplantae; Streptophyta; Magnoliopsida; Malpighiales; Euphorbiaceae
Source: RNAcentral